RNAcentral lists this ribosomal RNA (253 nucleotides) under uncultured bacterium. RNAcentral's name for it is "partial 16S ribosomal RNA". It matches the Rfam family "Bacterial small subunit ribosomal RNA", at positions 524 to 776 of the family's 1533-position model. The record is from RNAcentral.
UACAGAGGGGGCGAGCGUUGUUCGGAAUUACUGGGCGUAAAGGGCGCGUAGGCGGCCAACUAAGUCAGACGUGAAAUCCCUCGGCUCAACCGGGGAACUGCGUCUGAUACUGGAUGGCUUGAAUUCGGGAGAGGGAUGCGGAAUUCCAGGUGUAGCGGUGAAAUGCGUAGAUAUCAGGAGGAACACCGGUGGCGAAGGCGGUUCUCUGGGCAUUACCUGACGCUGAGGAGCGAAAGUGUGGGGAGCGAACAGG